AAUAGAUACCCGGGUAGUCCACCCCGUAAACGUUGGAACUAGUUGUGGGGUCCUUUCCACGGAUUCCGUGACGCAGCUAACGCAUUAAGUUCCCCGCCUGGGGAGUACGGCCGCAAGGCUAAAACUCAAAGGAAUUGACGGGGACCCGCACAAGCGGCGGAGCAUGCGGAUUAAUUCGAUGCAACGCGAAGAACCUUACCAAGGCUUGACAUACACCAGAACACCCUAGAAAUAGGGGACUCUUUGGACACUGGUGAACAGGUGGUGCAUGGUUGUCGUCAGCUCGUGUCGUGAGAUGUUGGGUUAAGUCCCGCAACGAGCGCAACCCUCGUUCUAUGUUGCCAGCACGUAAUGGUGGGAACUCAUGGGAUACUGCCGGGGUCAACUCGGAGGAAGGUGGGGAUGACGUCAAAUCAUCGAUGCCCCUUAUGUCUUGGGCUUCACGCAUGCUACAAUGACCGGUACAAAGGGCUGCAAUACCGUGAGGUGGAGCGAAUCCCAAAAAGCCGGUCCAGUUCGGAUUGAGGUCUGCAACUCGACCUCAUG
RNAcentral lists this ribosomal RNA (546 nucleotides) under uncultured bacterium. RNAcentral describes it as "bacterial SSU rRNA". It matches the Rfam family "Bacterial small subunit ribosomal RNA", at positions 777 to 1322 of the family's 1533-position model. The record is from RNAcentral.